GAGUCGGACCUGCCCAGUGAAUUAACUUUUCAACGGCCGCGGUACUCUGACCGUGCAAAGGUAGCAUAAUCAUUUGCCCUAUAAUUGAGGGCUAGUAUGAAUGGUUUGACGUGAGCAAAACUGUCUCUAUAUAAAUUUCUAGAACUUGAUUUUUAGGUGAAGAAACCUAGAUUCCAUUGAUAGACAAGAAGACCCUAUUGAGCUUUAAAGAAAUAGGUAGAAAAUAAUAUAUAAUUCUAAAUAUUAAUCUAUCUUAAAUUUUGGUUGGGGCGACUAAGGAACAAACAAAGCUUCUUUACCAUUUCCACACCUACAGGUUUUGAUCCAGAAGUUCUGAUUAAUGAAAUUAGUUACCAUAGGGAUAACAGCAUAAUUUUCUUUGAGAGUCCCUAUCGAAAAGAAAGUUUGUGACCUCGAUGUUGGACUAGAAUAUCCUAAAGAUGCAGCAGUCUUUAAGGGUUGGUC
RNAcentral lists this ribosomal RNA (465 nucleotides) under Cryptocypraea dillwyni. RNAcentral describes it as "partial 16S large subunit ribosomal RNA". It matches the Rfam family "Bacterial large subunit ribosomal RNA", at positions 1850 to 2577 of the family's 2925-position model. The record is from RNAcentral. Lineage: Eukaryota; Metazoa; Mollusca; Gastropoda; Littorinimorpha; Cypraeidae.